UGGGGAAUAUUGGACAAUGGGCGAAAGCCUGAUCCAGCCAUGCCGCGUGUGUGAAGAAGGUCUUCGGAUUGUAAAGCACUUUAAGUUGGGAGGAAGGGCAUUAACCUAAUACGUUAGUGUUUUGACGUUACCGACAGAAUAAGCACCGGCUAACUCUGUGCCAGCAGCCGCGGUAAUACAGAGGGUGCAAGCGUUAAUCGGAAUUACUGGGCGUAAAGCGCGCGUAGGUGGUUUGUUAAGUUGGAUGUGAAAGCCCCGGGCUCAACCUGGGAACUGCAUUCAAAACUGACUGACUAGAGUAUGGUAGAGGGUGGUGGAAUUUCCUGUGUAGCGGUGAAAUGCGUAGAUAUAGGAAGGAACACCAGUGGCGAAGGCGACCACCUGGACUAAUACUGACACUGAGGUGCGAAAGCGUGGGGAGCAAACA
Molecule: ribosomal RNA, 427 nt
Filed under: uncultured bacterium
Lineage: Bacteria
Description: partial 16S ribosomal RNA
Rfam family: Bacterial small subunit ribosomal RNA
Source: RNAcentral